GGCGGUGUAGCUCAAUGGGCGAGCAGCAGGCUUCUGCCUGAAGAUCCCGGUUCGAUUUCGGGCAUCGCUA
RNAcentral lists this transfer RNA (70 nucleotides) under Limosilactobacillus alvi. Its description in RNAcentral is "tRNA-OTHER". It matches the Rfam family "tRNA". From Rfam's summary of the family: Transfer RNA (tRNA) molecules are approximately 80 nucleotides in length. Their secondary structure includes four short double-helical elements and three loops (D, anti-codon, and T loops). Further hydrogen bonds mediate the characteristic L-shaped molecular structure. tRNAs have two regions of fundamental functional importance: the anti-codon, which is responsible for specific mRNA codon recognition, and the 3' end, to which the tRNAs corresponding amino acid is attached (by aminoacyl-tRNA synthetases). tRNAs cope with the degeneracy of the genetic code in two manners: having more than one tRNA (with a specific anti-codon) for a particular amino acid; and 'wobble' base-pairing, i.e. permitting non-standard base-pairing at the 3rd anti-codon position. Lineage: Bacteria; Bacillati; Bacillota; Bacilli; Lactobacillales; Lactobacillaceae. The record is from RNAcentral.